UACGGAGGGUGCGAGCGUUGUCCGGAAUCACUGGGCGUAAAGUGUGCGCAGGCGGCCGAGCAAGUCGAGUGUGAAAGCCCCGAGCUUAACUUGGGAACUGCGCUCGAAACUACUUGGCUAGAGUGUGGCAGAGGGAGGUGGAAUUCCACGUGUAGCGGUGAAAUGCGUAGAGAUGUGGAGGAACACCGAUGGCGAAGGCAGCCUCCUGGGCCAACACUGACGCUCAUGCACGAAAGCGUGGGGAGCAAACAGG
RNAcentral lists this ribosomal RNA (253 nucleotides) under uncultured bacterium. RNAcentral's name for it is "partial 16S ribosomal RNA". It matches the Rfam family "Bacterial small subunit ribosomal RNA", at positions 524 to 776 of the family's 1533-position model. The record is from RNAcentral.